AAAACCGAGGAUGGCCUUGGCCUUCGUGAUCUCCACAUCUUUAACCUGGCCAUGUUGGCUAGACAAGGUUGGAGACUACUACAAGACCCUGAGUCUCUAUUUGGGAGGGUGCUGCGGGCUAAAUAUUUUCCUGACGGGAAGCUUCUGGACGAUGUUCCCGCCCCUGGCAUAUAGUACACUUGGCGCAGCAUCCUAAAAGGGGUGGACUUAUUAAAGGAAGUGAUUAUGUGGAGGGUGGGGGAUGGGACUAACAUCAAGGUGUGGGAAGAUCCCUGA
Molecule: ribosomal RNA, 276 nt
Filed under: Triticum aestivum (bread wheat)
Lineage: Eukaryota; Viridiplantae; Streptophyta; Magnoliopsida; Poales; Poaceae
Description: partial small subunit ribosomal RNA
Source: RNAcentral